This 287-nucleotide ribosomal RNA is filed under the name Gibbaranea occidentalis. RNAcentral's name for it is "partial 12S ribosomal RNA". The record is from RNAcentral. Lineage: Eukaryota; Metazoa; Arthropoda; Arachnida; Araneae; Araneidae.
AAACCAGGAUUAGAUACCCUAUUAUACUUUAAUUUCUUUGGUAGUAUUACUAUUUUUGAUAAACCAAUGUAGUUUGGCGGCAUUCAAUCACUUUAGAGGAACCUGUCUAUUAAUCGACUCUCCACGAUAUCUUUCACUUUUAUUUAUAUUUUAUAUACCACCAUCUUUUAGGAUUAAUAUAAAUAUUCUUUCCUUAAUAGAAACUUCUUAUAAGUUAGGUAAAGGUGUAGACUAUAUAAAAGAUAAGAUGGGUUACAUUAAGAAAUACUAAAGGAUAAUCAUUCAAA